CUUCUAGAAGCAUAGCUGCAGGAGCUCCAGCCCAUCGGUGAGCGCUGCAGCUCCCACGCUGUGUCCCCCCACCAGCUGAUGAAAGCGAGCUGGAACGCGGCUACGGCCUUGUCCCCAUGUCCUUCACCAGGGCUUUUGGCUGACACGUGCACCCAUCAGCACGGACUGGAGACGUUGGCUGGAGAUGAAAUUUGAAGCAAGCACAGAGAUGGAUGGUGUACAAGGGCAGUGCUGGGGUCUCAGUGUCACAGCCCGGGCUGAAAGCAAAUGGUAAAAUCAGUGUAAAACCACUCAGAAGCUGGAUUUAGGAAAGACCAAACUAUUCAUAAGCUGAAGCUGAAUUUGGCGACUUGAUAUGUUCGAAAUCCCCGGGGAGAGUUAAUUUACUUUUAAUGUCCAGGCAUUUCGUUUGAAAUGCCAAAAUGAAAUGUGUCAUUUUGGAAAUGCCAGAGCGUUUCUUUUCUGACAUCUCCUCAAUGAAGCUUUUCAACCCCUUUGUUUUGAAACGGCGGCUUUCAGUUGGAAGGAAGAAAGGUUAAACAAGACGGUUAAAUGACUUGACAGUGAAUGAAGACAUUUCAUCUUGAUUUACACGGAGUGUGGAGGGGUGGCACGCUCGUUUCUUCGUGUAGCUGAUCCCCUUUCCCUUCCCUGAAAUCUGUUUCCAAUUGACCUCAGCCAUUUUGAUCCCUACUUUUAGCACAAAUGGGAAAUGUCACCGGAUUAAGAUAAAAUCAUUAUUCCUCCUCUUCCAGUUCCCGGAAGGGCUUAGUUGGGAAAUGGUGAAAACCACUGACGGAAGACCCAAGGGGGAGUACGCACAACAGCCUCUCAGCAUCGGAUGCUCCUACUGGUAGGAGCAGCAUCCCUGGCACGCUUCUCAUAGCGGGGACAUGGGCUGGGAUCUCCCCCGACUCAUCCCUGCCAUCCUCUGGAAAUCCGUGGUGAGGAGGCAGCGUUCUGUCCUGUUACCACUCCCUGCAGAGAGGAGGUGGCGCUUGCAGAAAUACUGAGGGCAUCUUGGAGGUUGCAGCAACCUGUGCACUGAUGGAUGGAGAUCAUAGAACCACAGAAUCAUUCAGGUCAGAGAAGACCUCCAAGAUCCCCAAGCCCAAUCCCAACCUAUCCCACUGUGUCCGUUGACCAAUGUUCCCAAGUGCCACAUCUCCAUGGUUGUUAAGCACCUCCAGGGUCAGCUUUGUGUCACCUCUAGGGGAGCAGACAGAAGUUUGCUGGGUGAUGCUGAACAUCCCUUCCCAUGGGCGUUAUGGGAUGCCAACCUGCU
Long non-coding RNA from Gallus gallus (chicken), 1285 nucleotides. The record is from Ensembl. Lineage: Eukaryota; Metazoa; Chordata; Aves; Galliformes; Phasianidae.